AUUUAUUUUACCUAUUCUUUUACAAUUUGAAGGAAAGCAUAUAGGGGUUGCUCAUAUGAUGCACCAAAUUAAAGUUGAAGCAUAUUCAAUCACAAAAACCAAGAGUCCUCCAUUACAAUAUGACAAGCUAUUCCCUUCUUUUUGCUAUGGAACCAUUUCAGACUAAAAAUAGUGGACUGGGAGGCAUCUGAUUAUUGAAUUCCAUUGCAAGGGAAAGCAAAGAAUAAAGCACAUAUUCUCUGCUUUCUCUCUUUCUUUGUUUUCCCCAAUUUUGCAAGACUUUUCAAGUUCCAAGUCUCCAAGCAUUCCUUUAAUUUUUUUUAUAAGUUUAACUUCACCUUGCCCUUUUUCACAAGAUCUUUCCUUCAAAUUGAAGAACAUGUAAAUCUUUGCUUAUAUGCUCUUGAAAAUGAAAAUGUACAGGGGGAUAAUAUCUCAUGCUCAAUUUCAUUUCUCCAUGCAUGCGAUAUAAAUUUGUCAAAAGCAAAGUUUUGGUGGCUACAAGAAACCAAAGAAAUUAGGUCAACUUGGAUAGUGUUACAGAGACAUA
This 550-nucleotide unclassified non-coding RNA is filed under the name Hevea brasiliensis (rubber tree). The record is from RNAcentral. Lineage: Eukaryota; Viridiplantae; Streptophyta; Magnoliopsida; Malpighiales; Euphorbiaceae.